This 427-nucleotide ribosomal RNA is filed under the name uncultured bacterium. RNAcentral describes it as "partial 16S ribosomal RNA". It matches the Rfam family "Bacterial small subunit ribosomal RNA", at positions 355 to 774 of the family's 1533-position model. The record is from RNAcentral.
UGGGGAAUAUUGGACAAUGGGCGAAAGCCUGAUCCAGCCAUGCCGCGUGUGUGAAGAAGGUCUUCGGAUUGUAAAGCACUUUAAGUUGGGAGGAAGGGCAUUAACCUAAUACGUUAGUGUUUUGACGUUACCGACAGAAUAAGCACCGGCUAACUCUGUGCCAGCAGCCGCGGCAAUACAGAGGGUGCAAGCGUUAAUCGGACUUACUGGGCGUAAAGCGCGCGUAGGUGGUUUGUUAAGUUGGAUGUGAAAUCCCCGGGCUCAACCUGGGAACUGCAUUCAAAACUGACUGACUAGAGUAUGGUAGAGGGUGGUGGAAUUUCCUGUGUAGCGGUGAAAUGCGUAGAUAUAGGAAGGAACACCAGUGGCGAAGGCGACCACCUGGACUAAUACUGACACUGAGGUGCGAAAGCGUGGGGAGCAAACA